AUGCUCUUUGCGGAUGAUGUGGUGCUAGUUGACGAUAGUCGGACGGGGGUAUAUAGGAAGUUAGAGUUAUGGAGACAAACCUUGGAAUCGAAAGGGUUUAGGCUUAGUAGAACUAAAACCGAGUACAUGAUGUGCGGUUUCAGUACUACUAGAUGUGAGGAGGAGGAGGUUAGCCUUGAUGGCCAGGUGGUACCUUGGAAGGACACCUUUCGGUAUUUGGGGUCAAUGUUGCAGGAGGAUGGGGGUAUUGAUGAAGAUGUGAACCAUCGAAUCAAAGCCGGAUGGAUGAAGUGGCGCCAAGCUUCUGGCAUUCUCUGUGACAAGAGAGUGCCACAAAAGCUAAAAGGCAAGUUCUACAAGACAGCGGUUCGACCCUCAAUGUUUUAUGGCGCGGAGUGUUGGCCGACUAAAAGGUGA
This 417-nucleotide ribosomal RNA is filed under the name Triticum aestivum (bread wheat). RNAcentral's name for it is "partial small subunit ribosomal RNA". The record is from RNAcentral. Lineage: Eukaryota; Viridiplantae; Streptophyta; Magnoliopsida; Poales; Poaceae.